Molecule: ribosomal RNA, 274 nt
Filed under: uncultured bacterium
Lineage: Bacteria
Description: partial 16S ribosomal RNA
Rfam family: Bacterial small subunit ribosomal RNA
Source: RNAcentral
AUACGGAGGGUGCAAGCGUUACUCGGAAUCACUGGGCGUAAAGCGCGCGCAGGCGGCUUGAUAAGUUGGAUGUGAAAGCCUACGGCUCAACUGUAGAUCUGCAUCCAAAACUGUCAGGCUAGAGUGUGGGAGAGGAAGAUGGAAUUAGUUGUGUAGGGGUAAAAUCCGUAGAGAUAACUAGGAAUACCAAAAGCGAAGGCAAUCUUCUGGAACACUACUGACGCUGAGGCGCGAAGGCGUGGGGAGCAAACAGGAGUAGAAACCCCAGUAGUCC